CGUUGAAGCACCGCUUCCUGUAUAAUCACCCAAGUUAAGCAACGUUGAGCCUGGUCAGUACCAAGGUGGGUGACCGCUUUGGAAUACCAGGUGCUAUAA
Molecule: non-coding RNA, 99 nt
Organism: Acanthosepion pharaonis
Lineage: Eukaryota; Metazoa; Mollusca; Cephalopoda; Sepiida; Sepiidae
Source: the annotation of a GenBank genome assembly